ACCAGCCAGACUCUUUACCCAUCAGAUCUAAACAUUGGUCUGAGUCACCAUAAAAGGAGGAAAAUUAAACUCAAACCGACUUGGAUUAUUUUGUGAUAUACGAGCCAGUUUCAAACAAAC
Molecule: small nucleolar RNA, 120 nt
Filed under: Echinops telfairi (small Madagascar hedgehog)
Lineage: Eukaryota; Metazoa; Chordata; Mammalia; Afrosoricida; Tenrecidae
Description: Small nucleolar RNA SNORA61 (ENSETEG00000026821.1)
Source: RNAcentral